CCAACCACACAGCUGCCUCAGCAAGCGUAGGAGAUGGCACAUUAGAGACCAACAAUUGUCAGCACAGCAAAACUGGGCAUUUCUUUUCUUACUGAGCUUUGCAGCUACCUACACAGUUGUGUGUGGCAUCUCCUCCUGGGCGCAAGGACAUGAGAUGACAUCAGUUACUGUGAUCUCCAGUAAAAUGUUUAAUACAAGUGGAGACAAUAGAUAACCUUUUCCAACUCCUGAUCGGGGGGUGGAAAGUGCUCAGUGUGCUAUUAACUUAAGGCUUUUAUAGAUGUGCUUUAUCAUGUAAAGGCUGUUCCCUCCAAUUCUUUCUAUACUGAGAAAUUUUUUCAAAGAUGUGUUAAAUUUUUUCAACCCAUGUCACAAAUCUGCAUAUGUACUCCCCUAAACCUAAAAUAAAAGUUGGAAAGAAAAAUAAAACUAUUACUUGAAA
RNAcentral lists this long non-coding RNA (442 nucleotides) under Pan troglodytes (chimpanzee). RNAcentral's name for it is "lincRNA". The record is from RNAcentral. Lineage: Eukaryota; Metazoa; Chordata; Mammalia; Primates; Hominidae.